UAGCAGUAUCAGGGUCAC
This 18-nucleotide unclassified non-coding RNA is filed under the name Mus musculus (house mouse). RNAcentral describes it as "oocyte_clustered_small_RNA4319". The record is from RNAcentral. Lineage: Eukaryota; Metazoa; Chordata; Mammalia; Rodentia; Muridae.